Long non-coding RNA from Pseudophryne corroboree (corroboree frog), 579 nucleotides. RefSeq lists it as uncharacterized. Lineage: Eukaryota; Metazoa; Chordata; Amphibia; Anura; Myobatrachidae. The transcript is spliced from 4 exons. The record is from RefSeq and is a predicted model, not a curated record.
AGACUAUGUAAUAAAGUGAAUUUAACUGCAUCUGCCACACAGCGUGUGUUUGAGGUACAUUCGAUACUGCAAUUUGGACCCAGAAUGAAGUCACAAAAUCAGCUGAACAGAGGAAUUAAACAGCCUGCAGUACCAGAUGCUCACCUCUAGAAGACAUUCCAGAUACACAAUGGGGGAAUUCAAUUAAACCCACUGCUAAUUGCUGGCACGAACCUAAUCAAUUAGCGGGAUUUACCCGACGUGCAAGUCCCCACAGUGCUGCGAGCGAGCCCCACAGGCGGUCUGAACCUCGCUACCCAUACAGCUGUACGGUAAAGUACCACAAAGGUUGCGGCUAAUUGAAUAUCUCCCAGAGAAUCUUACAGCCAAAGACCAUCUGCACACUGUCAGGAAGAAGAAUCUUCACUCAUCCACCCGCAGGAUAUCAGUGUGGCAGUAGCUGCUGAACGGGAAGAUCCAGGACUACUGAGAUUUUGAAAAGAUUCUACCAUUACUACCUUCUCUGGCAGAGAGUUCUAAAUCUUUACGCCCCUUCGUUUGGUAUGAAAUUUUCUCUACCCUAACCUCAGAGGGUGACCA